UACGGAGGAUGCGAGCGUUAUCCGGAUUUAUUGGGUUUAAAGGGUGCGUAGGCGGCCUGCCAAGUCAGCGGUAAAAUUGCGGGGCUCAACCCCGUACAGCCGUUGAAACUGCCGGGCUCGAGUGGGCGAGAAGUAUGCGGAAUGCGUGGUGUAGCGGUGAAAUGCAUAGAUAUCACGCAGAACCCCGAUUGCGAAGGCAGCAUACCGGCGCCCGACUGACGCUGAGGCACGAAAGUGCGGGGGGCAAACAGG
RNAcentral lists this ribosomal RNA (252 nucleotides) under uncultured bacterium. Its description in RNAcentral is "partial 16S ribosomal RNA". It matches the Rfam family "Bacterial small subunit ribosomal RNA", at positions 524 to 776 of the family's 1533-position model. The record is from RNAcentral.